AUUGAACGCUGGCGGCAGGCCUAACACAUGCAAGUCGAACGAGUGGCGGACGGGUGAGUAAUGUCUGGGAAACUGCCUGAUGGAGGGGGAUAACUACUGGAAACGGUAGCUGAUAACGCAUACCAUCGGAUGUGCCCGUAUGGGAUUAGCUAGGAGGUGGGGUAAAUGCUCACCUGGGCGACGAUCCCUAGCUGGUCUGAGAGGAGGACCAGCCCCACGGGAGCUGAGCCACGGUCCAUGCUCCUACGGUAGGCAGCAGUGGGGAAUAGUGCGCAAUGGGCGCAAUUCUGAUGCAGUCAUGCCGCGCGUAUGGAGAAGGCCCUCGGGUUGUAAAGUCCUUUCAGCGGGUAUGCGUUACCCGCAGAAGAAGCACCGGCUAACUCCGUGCCAGCCGCCGCGGUAAUAC
This 406-nucleotide ribosomal RNA is filed under the name uncultured bacterium. Its description in RNAcentral is "partial 16S ribosomal RNA". It matches the Rfam family "Bacterial small subunit ribosomal RNA", at positions 30 to 526 of the family's 1533-position model. The record is from RNAcentral.